This 492-nucleotide ribosomal RNA is filed under the name uncultured bacterium. RNAcentral's name for it is "partial 16S ribosomal RNA". It matches the Rfam family "Bacterial small subunit ribosomal RNA", at positions 29 to 507 of the family's 1533-position model. The record is from RNAcentral.
AGUGAACGCUGGCGGUAGGCCUAACACAUGCAAGUCGAACGGCAGCACAGUAAGAGCUUGCUCUUACGGGUGGCGAGUGGCGGACGGGUGAGGAAUACAUCGGAAUCUACUUUUUCGUGGGGGAUAACGUAGGGAAACUUACGCUAAUACCGCAUACGACCUACGGGUGAAAGCAGGGGAUCCUCGGACCUUGCGCGAUUGAAUGAGCCGAUGUCGGAUUAGCUAGUUGGCGGGGUAAAGGCCCACCAAGGCGACGAUCCGUAGCUGGUCUGAGAGGAUGAUCAGCCACACUGGAACUGAGACACGGUCCAGACUCCUACGGGAGGCAGCAGUGGGGAAUAUUGGACAAUGGGCGAAAGCCUGAUCCAGCCAUACCGCGUGGGUGAAGAAGGCCUUCGGGUUGUAAAGCCCUUUUGUUGGGAAAGAAAAGCAGCAGGUUAAUACCCCGCUGUUCUGACGGUACCCAAAGAAUAAGCACCGGCUAACUUCGUG